ACCCCGGGCAGGCAGGGGGGUUCCGAGGCCCACGCAGGACUCCGGCUGCUGCCCGUCGCGGAUCCCGCUUUGAACCUCCCUGGUCCUUCUCGACCGCGCUGCCUCAGUUUCCCCAACUGGGAACUUCUUCGAGGACUGGGGGCGGGGGCGGCGGUGGAGGCAGGGCAGCACACCUCAGCUGUCACCAUGGACACUGCCAUUUCCUGCAGAACUGAAGACAGAGACCUGACAGCAAGUGGCGUUGGGAGGGGCACAGACAGCAAGGAGCGGCUGCAGCUCAUCCUCAGACAUUCGAAGCUCGCUAACAAAAAUCAGGCCGACACUUCGCUAACACUAACACACGCAAUCACUGCCCCCCACGCGUGAUCCACACCCAUCGAUACCUGUCACACACCACCUCUGUGUGCACAGACACGCACAGUUCCUCCCAGGUCAGACAAAAGCUUCUAGCCCUAAGGCCUGUCUACACCCUUUCUUGGCAUCUCAGAUCUGAAAUCGCCUAACCUGAAGAGGGCUUAAGUCCCUGUCCCCGCUCUCCAAAUUCCGCAACCAGGGCCAGCCCCAACAGCUGAGAGGCCACGCAGAAGUAAGUCAAGUACCAAGGUCGAGGCGAAGAACCGGGAGCUGACCAGGCGGAGGGGCUGUGAAACGCCUCCCUUACGCUCCCUCCUGCCACAGGCCUCUUCCCGGCACGUCCACGCGCGGCCCGCCCGGCCCGCCGCCCGCCUGUCAGAAGAGUAAUGAAUGCGCGCUCGGGGCCCGGGGCCCCCUCGGAGUCGUUCAUCACUGCCAGCACCGCCCACCUCUCUGCCGCUCGCAGGGAGGGUUAACCGGUCCUGGCAGCGAGAGCCUCUCACCCCCCAUCUCGACCACUAAUUGUCAGAUUGAAAUGUUGAUUUGUCAGCUGGAAGCUAGCGCCAAAGAAUCCGCAGUAAAAGCGCGGACUCCUUGAA
Long non-coding RNA from Eptesicus fuscus (big brown bat), 953 nucleotides. RefSeq lists it as uncharacterized. The transcript is spliced from 2 exons. The record is from RefSeq and is a predicted model, not a curated record. Lineage: Eukaryota; Metazoa; Chordata; Mammalia; Chiroptera; Vespertilionidae.